Molecule: ribosomal RNA, 430 nt
Filed under: uncultured bacterium
Lineage: Bacteria
Description: bacterial SSU rRNA
Rfam family: Bacterial small subunit ribosomal RNA
Source: RNAcentral
GUGGGGAAUAUUGGACAAUGGGCGAAAGCCUGAUCCAGCGACGCCGCGUGGGUGAAGAAGGCCUGCGGGUUGUAAAGCCCUUUCGGUGGGGAAGAAAAGCCUCGACCUAAUACGUCGGGGUCUUGACGUAACCCAUAGAAGAAGCACCGGCUAACUCUGUGCCAGCAGCCGCGGUAAUACAGAGGGUGCGAGCGUUAAUCGGAAUUACUGGGCGUAAAGCGCGCGUAGGCGGCUUUGCAAGUCGGGUGUGAAAUCCCCAGGCUUAACCUGGGAACUGCACCCGAGACUGCAUUGCUAGAGUAUGGGAGAGGGAAGUGGAAUUUCAGGUGUAGCGGUGAAAUGCGUAGAUAUCUGAAGGAACAUCAGUGGCGAAAGCGACUUCCUGGACCAAUACUGACGCUCAUGUGCGAAAGCGUGGGGAGCAAACAGG